RNAcentral lists this ribosomal RNA (450 nucleotides) under uncultured bacterium. RNAcentral describes it as "partial 16S ribosomal RNA". It matches the Rfam family "Bacterial small subunit ribosomal RNA", at positions 354 to 796 of the family's 1533-position model. The record is from RNAcentral.
GUGGGGAAUAUUGGACAAUGGGCGAAAGCCUGAUCCAGCCAUGCCGCGUGUGUGAAGAAGGUCUUCGGAUUGUAAAGCACUUUAAGUUGGGAGGAAGGGCAGUAAGUUAAUACCUUGCUGUUUUGACGUUACCGACAGAAUAAGCACCGGCUAACUUCGUGCCAGCAGCCGCGGUAAUACGAAGGGUGCAAGCGUUAAUCGGAAUUACUGGGCGUAAAGCGCGCGUAGGUGGUUUUGUAAGUUGGAGGUGAAAUCCCCGGGCUCAACCUGGGAACUGCCUCCAAAACUGCAUGACUAGAGUACGGUAGAGGGUAGUGGAAUUUCCUGUGUAGCGGUGAAAUGCGUAGAUAUAGGAAGGAACACCAGUGGCGAAGGCGACUACCUGGACUGAUACUGACACUGAGGUGCGAAAGCGUGGGGAUCAAACAGGAUUAGAAACCCGGGUAGUCC